Molecule: long non-coding RNA, 636 nt
Organism: Talpa occidentalis (Iberian mole)
Lineage: Eukaryota; Metazoa; Chordata; Mammalia; Eulipotyphla; Talpidae
Exons: 3
Source: RefSeq, a predicted model, not a curated record
CUCACAGCAGCAAGGAUUCUGAGGAGACCCAAGAAUAGACUGGGGAGAGCUCCCUGGCUGGGGUGGGAUGGAGACGUGGCUGCCAUCCUGCCCUGCCCUUCCCUGGAGGUUCUAGGCUGUGUCUGAGAAGUGUUUCUGCAUAAGAAAUCCUAGGCCUUCAAGGCAGAACAGGACCAGAGAGGCUCUGCAAGUUCAAGAAUGAAGAUAAAGUGAUGAGAACUAAUCUUGGAGUAUUCCAGAAGCAGGGAUGGGGAGUACCCACAGGGUCUUGGUUCCUGCCCAAGCCUGCAUCAUCCAUCCAGGGAGAUUCACCUUGCAUAAGAAGACAUUGGCGGCAGGCUGUUGGAUCGCCGUGUGCUGCCACGCCAGGAAAUUCAGACACAGAGAGACAGCAUAAAGGAGCGUCCACAUGGAGGCACAGGAAGGCGACCAUCUGCAAGCUAAGAAGAGAGGACUCAAGAGAAAAAACCACCUCUUCUGACACUUUGAUCUUGGACUUCCAGACUGCAGAACAGUGAGAAAUACAUGUCUGUUGUUUAUGGCACCUGAUCUGUGGUAUUUUUUAUGGCCGCCUUAGCAUACCAACAUAAGCACCAAAGGACAGCCUCCACAGAUAGCAAUGUGGCAAUAUCUGUC